ACAUUGUUAAAAUAACACACAUCAAAAAGGCAUCAAAAUUACCAAGAUUACAUUAAUCAAAAUGACAUAUUCAUGCCAAACUCAUUAACUAACAUAAACCACAAGUCCACCUAUACAUGCCAUUAUAACCUUGAUCAAGACAUCAUAAACUACCGAUAUAAUCGUUGGAUAGUGUGAUAGAUCUUCAACGAGCUUCCAAACCAGUCGAGCUUCCGAUAAUCUGUAAAGUAAAGAAAAAAUAACUACGUAAGCAAUGAAUGCUUAGUAAGCUCGUAUAAACUUUAAACAUAACAUUUCUUUUUUAAUAAUAAACUUUUUGGGGUAAUUAUAAACCUAUACCAACUUCACAAAUUUUAUCAAACUUUAAAACCAUCAACUCAUAAAUGAGUAAGUUCAUCAAUAUCACAUAUAUUUUUUAUUCCUAGCAUAAUAGG
This 434-nucleotide long non-coding RNA is filed under the name Gossypium raimondii (Peruvian cotton). RNAcentral's name for it is "long non-coding RNA (GRAI_LNC008103)". Lineage: Eukaryota; Viridiplantae; Streptophyta; Magnoliopsida; Malvales; Malvaceae. The record is from RNAcentral.